AGAGUUUGAUCAUGGCUCAGGACGAACGCUGGCGGCGUGCCUAAUACAUGCAAGUCGAGCGAGCGGAACCAACAGAUUUACUUCGGUAAUGACGUUGGGAAAGCGAGCGGCGGAUGGGUGAGUAACACGUGGGGAACCUGCCCCUAAGUCUGGGAUACCAUUUGGAAACGGGUGCUAAUACCGGAUAAUAAAGCAGAUCGCAUGAUCAGCUUUUGAAAGGCGGCGUAAGCUGUCGCUAAGGGAUGGCCCCGCGGUGCAUUAGCUAGUUGGUAAGGUAACGGCUUACCAAGGCGACGAUGCAUAGCCGAGUUGAGAGACUGAUCGGCCACAUUGGGACUGAGACACGGCCCAAACUCCUACGGGAGGCAGCAGUAGGGAAUCUUCCACAAUGGACGCAAGUCUGAUGGAGCAACGCCGCGUGAGUGAAGAAGGUUUUCGGAUCGUAAAGCUCUGUUGUUGGUGAAGAAGGAUAGAGGUAGUAACUGGCCUUUAUUUGACGGUAAUCGACCAGAAAGUCACGGCUAACUACGUGCCAGCAGCCGCGGUAAUACGUAGGUGGCAAGCGUUGUCCGGAUUUAUUGGGCGUAAAGCGAGCGCAGGCGGAAAAAUAAGUCUAAUGUGAAAGCCCUCGGCUUAACCGAGGAACUGCAUCGGAAACUGUUUUUCUUGAGUGCAGAAGAGGAGAGUGGAACUCCAUGUGUAGCGGUGGAAUGCGUAGAUAUAUGGAAGAACACCAGUGGCGAAGGCGGCUCUCUGGUCUGCAACUGACGCUGAGGCUCGAAAGCAUGGGUAGCGAACAGGAUUAGAUACCCUGGUAGUCCAUGCCGUAAACGAUGAGUGCUAAGUGUUGGGAGGUUUCCGCCUCUCAGUGCUGCAGCUAACGCAUUAAGCACUCCGCCUGGGGAGUACGACCGCAAGGUUGAAACUCAAAUGAAUUGACGG
Molecule: ribosomal RNA, 942 nt
Filed under: uncultured bacterium
Lineage: Bacteria
Description: bacterial SSU rRNA
Rfam family: Bacterial small subunit ribosomal RNA
Source: RNAcentral